Molecule: transfer RNA, 75 nt
Filed under: Candidatus Wildermuthbacteria bacterium GWA1_49_26
Lineage: Bacteria; Candidatus Wildermuthiibacteriota
Also listed under: 8 other names
Description: tRNA-Val
Rfam family: tRNA
About the family: Transfer RNA (tRNA) molecules are approximately 80 nucleotides in length.
Source: RNAcentral
GGGCUCAUAGUUCAGUGGCAGAACGCUUCGUUGACAUCGAAGAGGUGGGAGGUUCAAUUCCUCCUGAGCCCACCC